Molecule: ribosomal RNA, 519 nt
Rfam family: Bacterial large subunit ribosomal RNA
GGCCGCGGUAUUUUGACCGUGCUAAGGUAGCGCAAUCACUUGUCUUUUAAAUGAAGACCCGUAUGAAUGGUGGAACGAGGGCUUAACUGUCUCCUUUUUCAAGUCAGUGAAAUUGAUCCGCCCGUGCAGAAGCGGGCAUAAAAAUACAAGACGAGAAGACCCUUUGGAGCUUUAAGACACAAAGUCAACGCACAGUCAUUAACCCCAGCAAACAGGAAUUAAACAUACUAUACAACUGACCCACAUCUUCGGUUGGGGCGACCACGGGGAAAAACAAAUCCCCCACGUGGAUAUGGGCUUUACCCAAAACUAAGAGGGACACCUCUAAGUCACAAAACUUUUGACCUAAAGAUCCGGUUCCAUGACCGAUCAACGAACCAAGUUACCCUAGGGAUAACAGCGCAAUCCCCUCCAAGAGUCCAUAUCGACGAGGGGGUUUACGACCUCGAUGUUGGAUCAGGACAUCCUAAUGGUGCAGCCGCUAUUAAGGGUUCGUUUGUUCAACGAUUAAAGUCCUAC